This 288-nucleotide unclassified non-coding RNA is filed under the name uncultured fungus. Its description in RNAcentral is "partial contains small subunit ribosomal RNA, internal transcribed spacer 1, and 5.8S ribosomal RNA". The stretch from base 1 to 46 matches the Rfam family "Eukaryotic small subunit ribosomal RNA", at positions 1786 to 1831 of the family's 1831-position model. Lineage: Eukaryota; Fungi. The record is from RNAcentral.
AAGUCGUAACAAGGUUUCCGUAGGUGAACCUGCGGAAGGAUCAUUGCCGAUCGGACGCGCGUGUCCCUUGUCGUAACAGACGUGGGGAUGCGUUGCGUCUUUUUCGACCCAACCCAUGUGAACUCGUUUUUUGUGUUUAACAUCUUUUCUUCUGAAAAGAUGUCCAAACAUUUUACAAUAAACCACAAUUCUUUACCUCUUGACUGAGACAAUAUAGGUCACGCCUAAAAAACGUUGAUCUCAAAAACCUAACCAUUACAACUUUUAACAACGGAUAUCUUGGCUCGC